AGUAAGAUCCCAGGCUGGCCUUUUGAAAUGAUCAACAUCAAUAACUAACGUACUGAUGUUAGUCAUUUCUAUUUAUUAACUUAUAAAAUAAAAACUUUGUAUCAGUUUCUUUAUACUGUUUGAGACCCAGAUCUAAAUGCUUACUCUUUUCUUUUUUUGGCUCCACAACCCUCCGGCAAUACCUAAAUACCUGAGAAGCAGUUGCUUUUUCCAUUCCAGCAAGAAAGAAAGCUAAUGAGGAAAAUAGUAUUUGCCUUGAAAUGUCCCUGUAUUGAUGCGCCUUCUACUUCGGAAGCUUCUUUGAAA
This 306-nucleotide long non-coding RNA is filed under the name Homo sapiens (human). RNAcentral's name for it is "HSALNT0367031". The record is from RNAcentral. Lineage: Eukaryota; Metazoa; Chordata; Mammalia; Primates; Hominidae.